UUCUGGAUUUGAGACGGAAUCAUGUCUGGUAGAGAAGGUGGUAAGAAGAAGCCCCUGAAACAACCUAAAAAGCAGGCAAAGGACGAGGAUGAGG
This is a long non-coding RNA of Protopterus annectens (West African lungfish), 94 nucleotides long. RefSeq lists it as uncharacterized. NCBI's taxonomy places the organism in Eukaryota, Metazoa, Chordata, Ceratodontiformes, Protopteridae. The transcript is spliced from 2 exons. The record is from RefSeq and is a predicted model, not a curated record.